GGGACCCUCCGAGCCAGGUGCGGGAUAUAGUCUCGCGGUGCGCCGUUUUUUAAGCCCGUCGGAAAAGCGCAAUAUUCGGGUGGGAGUGACUCGAUUUUCCAGGUGCCUCCGUCACCCCUUUCUUUGACUCGGAAAGGGAACUCCCUGACCCCUUGCGCUUCCCAAGUGAGGCAAUGCCUCACCCUGCUUCGGCUCGCCCCUGGUGCGCGCACCCACUGACCUGCGCCCACUGUCUGGCACUCCCUAGUGAGAUGAACCCGGUACCUCAGAUGGAAAUGCAGAAAUCACCCGUCUUCUGCGUCGCUCACGCUGGGAGCUGUAGACCGGAGCUGUUCCUAUUCGGCCAUCUUGGCUCCUCCACCAGAAAUGAUGUAGCUUCUAUCAGGAAUCUGGUAGCAAUGCAAAGCUAAGAGAAGUUAGAACACUUGAAAUUAGCUAAGCGAGAAUGCCAUCAGCAGUGCAUCGAUCUCAGCUGCAUCCAGGUGUAUCAGUUGAAUGGCAGAGGGACUAGAAAUUACAUUUCACGAAGAAAAUUUACAGAACUAAAGAUAUUUAGGCUGCAAAAGAAAAGACUAAGGCACUGUGCUAAGUUGGACUUACAGAGAUGAAUAAGAUUUGGCCACAUCUUCAAGGAGCUCAGACCUUCAUGGACGUACCAAAUAUAUACAGAACUAACUCUACUGCUUAUCAUAAUGAGAGCUGUGCUAUGGAUAUUUGAAAGUUAGAGAGAUUUAUUUUCAACAGAAUAAUAAAGUCAACUUUCACAAACUGGUGACAGAUGAUCUGGGCCUUGCAGACAGGGGAGGACUGACAGAUUGAGAAGAGUAUUUGGUUAAAAACGGAUCAUAAACUGGUAUAAAUAUCUAAACAAACUCAUGAGAAUGAGCAGAGUCAGACACAAUAAAAUAAUUCAAAGAUAUAUCAGAUAAACCUGGACCCAAAAGUCAUGACUUUUUCUUUUCAGUUAACUCUGAACAAUUUACAAUAACUUCCUCAAUUAUUGUUUGUCUCAUUUUAACAUUUUGUAAUAACACCUAUGUCUCCAUAUUGGUAUGAAGAUUAAAUGAAAAUACAUCUAUGUUAGAUAGUCCCUAAGUUUCUGUCCCUGAUAUAAGUCCACCCUCCCCACCAUCAUGUGAUCACACGCAGGUGCACAUGCACAGAUGUAUACAUGCAUGCCGUUAUGGGGACAGUAAUUGCAAAUAUCAAUACUGUUAUGGUUGUUACUUCAGCCAUUGCACAAGUGUAGACCUCUGGAUCAACACACAUACGUAUGUGUAUGUGUAACAAAUAUAUGGCUAAUAAUGCAUAGGUUUCAUAGCUAUACCUUGAAAUCAAUUUAUUAAAGGGAUGUGUCCUUCCCAUGCUGACUCACCUACUGCGGCCCAAAAGCAACAACGUAAACUGCCCUGGAUAAAACAUCUGCAGACAAGAGAUCUCUAAGCUAAGCUACAGCUUCAUCAAGCAUGGAGUUAUCUCAUUUCAUAGCUUCACACACACAAAGGCGCGCGCACACACACACACACACACACACAGCUCUCAGCUGGAGACCGUCAGGGAAAACAAGUACCAGUGAGACCUGGGGAUCUUCAUUUGAUUUUGUCUACUGGGUGAGGCUGUGUUGAAAACACUUUGACAGAGGGCUCUUCUCUUGGGGCUCAUCAAAUAUUGCUGGUAGAGGGUUUGCUUGCUUUAAAUAUUCCUUUCCUCAGAAAUUCUACAGGUUAUAGGUUUAUAAAUGGAGAACUGGUCUUGGAUUUAAAUGAAUUGGCAUCGUAUCUCAGACUUCUAGCUUUCUACCCAUGUGAAUUUAGGUGCGUACUAAUCACAUAUGUGUUUUAAGUUUAUCACUGGCUAUAUACAUGGUUACUUUUGUAUAUGCCUGUGCAUUGAAUGAAAAUACCUGGCAUGUGGUUGUUAUAAGCAAUAGACAGUUUUUGGCCAGAGAGCCAGGCAGACAAGUGUUAAUAUCACUUAAGCCCUCUGUGUCUCAAGUUCAAAAUUUCUAAAAUGAGUGAAUAUAAUAUUUGUUUGAAUUAAAGUAUACAAAGCAUGUAUCUCAGUGUCUAAGACAUUGUAAGACACCAAUAAAUGUCCAGUAUUUCUGUUGUUGUUGGUAUUUAUUUUUUAUUAAGGGAUUCUUGAAUUAAUACACCAUCCCUAGGGAAUUGCUGCCCUGUUUUCCUCAGCACUGUGAGCUUCUCCACGAACAAGACCGCUGUCUUUUAUGUCUGGGAUAGUUUGUUGAAUGAGU
RNAcentral lists this long non-coding RNA (2254 nucleotides) under Homo sapiens (human). RNAcentral describes it as "HSALNT0026311". The record is from RNAcentral. Lineage: Eukaryota; Metazoa; Chordata; Mammalia; Primates; Hominidae.